Molecule: ribosomal RNA, 389 nt
Filed under: uncultured bacterium
Lineage: Bacteria
Description: bacterial SSU rRNA
Rfam family: Bacterial small subunit ribosomal RNA
Source: RNAcentral
GACGAACGCUGGCGGCGUGCUUAAUACAUGCAAGUCAACUGAACUUGAAGUAGCAAUAUUUCAAGGGAGGUGGCGCACGGGUGAGUAACACGUAGGUAAUCUGCCUUUAGGUCUGACAUAAUUCCGCGAAAGCGGGACUAACUUCAGAUGAUGCAGCGGCUCGACAUCGAGACAGUCGUUAAACCUUCGGGGCCUAAAGAUGAGCCUGCGUCUGAUUAGGUAGUUGGCGGAGUAAAAGCCCACCAAGCCUGCGAUCAGUAGCUGGUCUGAGAGGAUGAUCAGCCACACUGGGACUGAGACACGGCCCAGACUCCUACGGGAGGCAGCAGUGGGGAAUCUUGCGCAAUGGGCGAAAGCCUGACGCAGCAACGCCGCGUGCGGGAUGACGG